Molecule: ribosomal RNA, 266 nt
Filed under: uncultured Staphylococcus sp.
Lineage: Bacteria; Bacillati; Bacillota; Bacilli; Caryophanales; Staphylococcaceae
Description: partial 16S ribosomal RNA
Rfam family: Bacterial small subunit ribosomal RNA
Source: RNAcentral
CGGCGGACGGGUGAGUAACACGUGGAUAACCUACCUAUAAGACUGGGAUAACUUCGGGAAACCGGAGCUAAUACCGGAUAAUAUAUUGAACCGCAUGGUUCAAUAGUGAAAGACGGUUUUGCUGUCACUUAUAGAUGGAUCCGCGCCGCAUUAGCUAGUUGGUAAGGUAACGGCUUACCAAGGCAACGAUGCGUAGCCGACCUGAGAGGGUGAUCGGACACACUGGAACUGAGACACGGUCCAGACUCCUACGGGAGGCAGCAGUU